GACAGAGGAGGCAAGCGUUAUCCGGAAUUAUUAGGCGUAAAGCGUCCGUAGGUGGUUUGGCAAGUCUGGGGUUAAAGCCCGGAGCCUAACUCCGGAUCGGCCCUGGAAACUGCCAGACUAGAGUAAGGAAGGGGUUGCGGGAAUUCCCGGAGUAGCGGUGAAAUGCGUAGAUAUCGGGAAGAACACCAGUGGCGAAAGCGCGCAACUGGGCCAUUACUGACACUGAGGGAUGAAAGCUAGGGGAGCAAAUGGG
Molecule: ribosomal RNA, 253 nt
Filed under: uncultured bacterium
Lineage: Bacteria
Description: partial 16S ribosomal RNA
Rfam family: Bacterial small subunit ribosomal RNA
Source: RNAcentral